Molecule: ribosomal RNA, 468 nt
Filed under: uncultured bacterium
Lineage: Bacteria
Description: partial 16S ribosomal RNA
Rfam family: Bacterial small subunit ribosomal RNA
Source: RNAcentral
GACGAACGCUGGCGGCGUGCUUAACACAUGCAAGUCGAACGGAAAGGCCCUGCUUUUGUGCGGUGCUCGAGUGGCGAACGGGUGAGUAACACGUGAGUAACCUGCCCUUGACUUUGGGAUAACUUCAGGAAACUGGGGCUAAUACCGGAUAGGAGCUCCUGCUGCAUGGUGGGGGUUGGAAAGUUUCGGCGGUUGGGGAUGGACUCGCGGCUUAUCAGCUUGUUGGUGGGGUAGUGGCUUACCAAGGCUUUGACGGGUAGCCGGCCUGAGAGGGUGACCGGCCACAUUGGGACUGAGAUACGGCCCAGACUCCUACAGGAGGCAGCAGUGGGGAAUAUUGCACAAUGGGCGGAAGCCUGAUGCAGCAACGCCGCGCGCGGGAUGACGGCCUUCGGGUUGUAAACCGCUUUCGCCUGUGACGAAGCGUGAGUGACGGUAAUGGGUAAAGAAGCACCGGCUAACUACGUG